CUUCAACUGAGAGGGGUCGCUGUCCCCUGAAACAUGGACCAAGAUCUAUCCACUUCAACUGAGAGGGGUCGCUGUCCCCUGAAACAUGGACCAAGAUCCCGUCUUCUUGCCCCUUAAAUAUGGUCAUUCUUGAUGAGGACUCAUCUUCUACCAUGGUAGGUGAUCUACAAGGGUGGGGUUCUUUUUUUACAUUAAAACAUAAGAAAUUAUAUUUAUCUCAAUACACUUAUUUUCUAAGAAUCACACUCUUAUUAGAUAAAUAGAGAGAGGAAGAGAGAGGGGGGAUGACAGAGGGAGGGAGGGAGAGAGAGAGGGGUUGGGGAGAGAGUCAGUCACUCUGCACCGUCUGUAUUAGUAUUAGUCUAAUAUUAGUAUUAGUCUGUAUUAGUAUUGUAUUAGUAUUGGUCUAUAUUGGUAUUAGUCUGUAUUAGUAUUAGUCUGUAUUAGUAUGUCUGUAUUAGUAUUAGUAUUAGUCUGUAUUAGUAUUAGUCUGUAUUAGUAUUCGUCCGUAUUAGUGUUAGUCUGAAUUAGUAUUAGUCUGUAUUAGUUUUAGUCUGUAUUAGUCUAAUAUCAGUAUUAGUCUGUAUUAGUCUUGUAUCAGUAUUAGUAUUAGUCUAAUAUCAGUAUUAGUCUGUAUUAGUCUAAUAUCAGUAUUAGUCUGUAUUAGUCUUGUAUUAGUAUUAGUCUAAUAUCAGUAUUAGUCUGUAUUAGUAUUAGUCUAAUAUUAAUAUUAGUCUAUAUUAGUAUAUCUGUAUUACUAUUAUUCUGUAUUAGUAUUAGUCUGUAUUAGUAUUGUAUUAGUCUUAUUCGUAUUAGUCUGUAUUAGUAUUAGUCUGUAUUAAUGUCUGUAUUAGUAUUAGUCUAGUAUUAGUCUGUAUUAGGUUGAGACUGUAUUAGUAUUCACCUGUAUUAAUAUUCAUCUAGUAUUAAUAUUUGUAUUGUAUUAGUCUAGUUUUAGUAUUAGUUUGUAUUAGUAUUUGUCUGUAUUAGUAUUUGUCUGUAUUAGUCCUAUAUUAGUCUGUAUUAGUCUAGUAUCAGUAUUAGUCUGUAUUAGUAUUAGUCUGUAUUAGUAUUAGUCUGUAUUAGUAUUAGUCUGUAUUAGUAUUAGUCUGUAUUAGUAUUAGUCUGUAUUAGUCUAGUAUCAGUAUUAGUCUGUAUUAGUAUUAGUCUGUAUUAGUAUUAGUCUGUAUUAGUAUUAGUCUGUAUUAGUAUUAGUCUGUAUUAGUAUUAGUCUGAACUAGCCUUGUAUCAGUAUUAUUCUGUAUUAGUAUUAGUCUGUAUUAGUCUAUAUUAGUCUUGUAUUAGUCUGAAUUAGCAUUAGUCUGUAUUAGUAUUAGUCUGUAUUCGUAUUAGUAUAGUAUCAGUAUUACAAGUGUAAUGGAUUGAAUUAGAAUAUGUACAUAAAAAUAUAUGCAGCCACUCAAUGUUAGUGGUGGAUGUUUAACAGUCUGAUGGCCUUGAGAUAGGAGCUGUUUUUCAGUCUCUCGGUCCCAGCUUUGAUGCACCUGUACUGACCUCACCUUCUGGAUGAUAGCGGGGUGAACAGGCAGUGGCUCGGGUGGUUGAUGUCCUUGAUGAUCUUUAUGGCCUUCCUAUGACAUCAGGUGGUGUAGGUGUCCUGGAGGGCAGGUAGUUUGCCCCCGGUGAUGCGUUGUGCAGACCUCACUACCCUCUGGAGAGCCUUAUGGUUGUGGACAGAGCAGUUGCCAUACCAGGCGGUGAUACAGCCCGACAGGAUGCUCUCGAUUGUGCAUCUGUAAAAGUUUGUGAGUGUUUUUGGUGACAAGCCAAAUCUUCAGCCCCCUGAGGUUGAAGAGGCGCCGCUGCGCCUUCUUCACGACGCUGUCUGUGUGGGUGGACCAAUUCAGUUUGUCCGUGAUGUGUACCCCGAGGGACUUAAAACUUUUAACCCUCUCCACUACUGUCCCCUCGAUGUGGAUAGGGGGUGCUCCCUCUGCUGUUUCCUGAAGUCCACGAUCAUCUCCUUUGUUUUGUUGACAUUGAGUUUGAGGUUAUUUUCCUGACACCACACUCCGAGGGCCCUCACCUCCUCCCUGUAGGCCGUCUCGUCGUUGUUGGUAAUCAAGCCUACCACUGUAGUGUCGUCCGCAAACUUGAUGAUUGAGUUGGAGGCGUGCGUGGCCACGCAGUCAUGGGUGAACAGGGAGUACAGGAGAAGGCUCAGAACACACCCUUGUGGGGCCCCAGUGUUGAGGAUCAGCGGGUGGAGAUGUUGUUACCUUCCCUCACCACCUGGGGGCGGCCCGUCAGGAAGUCCAGGACCCAGUUGCACAGGCCGGGGUCUGAGGACUGGCUUCCAUCUGGCCACUCUACCAUAAAGGCCUGAUUGGUGGAGUGCUGCAGAGAUGGCUGUCCUUCUGGAAGGUUCUCCCAUCUCCACAGAGGAACUCUAUCUCUGUCAGAGUGACCAUCAGGUUCUUGAUCACCUCCCUGACCAAGACCCUUCUACCCCGAUUACUCAGUUUGACCGGGCGGCUAGCUCGAGGAAGAGUCUUCGUGGUUCCAAACAUCUUCCAUUUAAGAAUGAUGGAGGCCAUUGUGUUCUUGUGGACGUUCAAUGCUGCAGACAUUUUUUGGUACCCAUCCCCAGAUCUGUGCCUCGACACAAUCCUGUCUCGGAGCUCUACAGACAAUUCCUUCGAACCUCAUGGCUUGGUUUUUGCUCUGACAUGCACUGUCAACUGUGGGACCUUAUAUAGACAGGUGUGUGCCUUUCCAAAUCAUGUCCAAUCAAUUGAAUUUACCACAGUUGGCCUCCAAUCAAGUUGUAGAAACAUUUCAAGGAUGAUCAAUGGAAACAGUUUGCGCCUGAGCUCAAUUUUGAGUCUCAUAACAAAGGGUCUGAAUACUUAUGUCAAUGUUUUUUUUAAAUAAAUUUGCAGCCAUUUCUGAAAACCUGUUUUCACUUUGUCAUUAUGGGGUAUUGUGUAUAGAUUACUGAGGAUACAUUUAAUGUUUUUUAAAGAAUAAGGCUGUAACAAAAACAGUGUGGGAAAAAGUCAAAGGGUCUGAAUUAUUUAUGAAGGCACUGUACUAAAUAAUAAAUGUGUAAAAUUAGUUGUGAUUUAGAAUGGACCAUAAUCAUGCUCCUGUCUCGGAACAAGAGCAUAGGAAAAAAAAUACACGUUCGUCUUAAGGACUUAAACAGCUUUUCCCCGUGCUUCAUUUUCAUGCCAGCCAGGUAGGAUAUACUCCUGCUGUAAAUAUAAGCAAUGUGCUUAAUAUUAAGAAGGCUGAUAAAUAAAUAUAGUAGGCCUAGACUAUAGAAAGCUGAUCCUCCACUUUUUAAUAGAGGCCAUCGUAACUCUGUUGUCUCGCGCAAUUGCAUAGUAUAUAUAAAUGUGGCGCAACAUGAGAUCUCAUGAAGUCCUUGAUCAGAUCUUCCAUUAGAUUUUCUAUUGAUGUCAGAGUGAUUAGAGGGACAAUAGAGUGCUGAGUACCAGGCAGUUAGCAAGUUUGGUAGGUUACUAAUGACCAUCAGCAGCAUCAGAGCUUAGAGAAACUUAAUUACAGUGACCAAACAGUCACAUGGAAUUUGACUGCCAUCAUGACUCAUGACCGUCGGUGUGGCGGUAAUACGGUCACCGUAACACCUCUAGCCCUGAGGCAGCAGCGGGCAGUGAGACGUUCUCCCUGGACGAGGACAUUCUACAACCGUUGGACGGGGGCGGUUCUCCCUGGACGAGGACAUUCUACAACCGUUGGACGGGGGCGGUUCUCCCUGGACGAGGACAUUCUACAACCGUUGGACGGGGGCGGUUCUCCCUGGACGAGGACAUUCUACAACCGUUGGACGGGGGCGUACGGACAUCCCCCGGAAUGGGUCCUCUAGCUGCAGAACCAACACAAGUUUCAUAUGUGGCCACUCAACAGCUCCGUCACGUUCCACCAACAUGUUCCAUCAACACGUUCCACCGUUCCUGCCCUCAGCCCCUCUGGUUUUGCUACUGUCAGCGUCUCAGCCCCCCCAACGACCAUCCUCCUCUGGCUGACCGUAUCCCACUGUGGGGCU
This is a long non-coding RNA of Oncorhynchus tshawytscha (Chinook salmon), 4033 nucleotides long. NCBI's taxonomy places the organism in Eukaryota, Metazoa, Chordata, Actinopteri, Salmoniformes, Salmonidae. The record is from Ensembl.